Molecule: ribosomal RNA, 1439 nt
Filed under: uncultured organism
Description: 16S ribosomal RNA
Rfam family: Bacterial small subunit ribosomal RNA
Source: RNAcentral
GCGGCGUGCUUAACACAUGCAAGUCGAGCGAAGCACUUAGGAAAGAUUCUUCGGAUGAUUUCCUAUUUGACUGAGCGGCGGACGGGUGAGUAACGCGUGGGUAACCUGCCUCAUACAGGGGGAUAACAGUUAGAAAUGACUGCUAAUACCGCAUAAGACCACAGCACCGCAUGGUGCAGGGGUAAAAACUCCGGUGGUAUGAGAUGGACCCGCGUCUGAUUAGUUAGUUGGUGGGGUAACGGCCUACCAAGGCGACGAUCAGUAGCCGACCUGAGAGGGUGACCGGCCACAUUGGGACUGAGACACGGCCCAAACUCCUACGGGAGGCAGCAGUGGGGAAUAUUGCACAAUGGGGGAAACCCUGAUGCAGCGACGCCGCGUGAGCGAAGAAGUAUUUCGGUAUGUAAAGUUCUAUCAGCAGGGAAGAAAAUGACGGUACCUGACUAAGAAGCCCCGGCUAACUACGUGCCAGCAGCCGCGGUAAUACGUAGGGGGCAAGCGUUAUCCGGAUUUACUGGGUGUAAAGGGAGCGUAGACGGAGCAGCAAGUCUGAUGUGAAAACCCGGGGCUCAACCCCGGGACUGCAUUGGAAACUGUUGAUCUGGAGUGCCGGAGAGGUAAGCGGAAUUCCUAGUGUAGCGGUGAAAUGCGUAGAUAUUAGGAGGAACACCAGUGGCGAAGGCGGCUUACUGGACGGUAACUGACGUUGAGGCUCGAAAGCGUGGGGGAGCAAACAGGAUUAGAUACCCUGGUAGUCCACGCCGUAAACGAUGACUACUAGGUGUCGGGUAGCAAAGCCAUUCGGUGCCGCAGCUAACGCAAUAAGUAGUCCACCUGGGGAGUACGUUCGCAAGAAUGAAACUCAAAGGAAUUGACGGGGACCCGCACAAGCGGUGGAGCAUGUGGUUUAAUUCGAAGCAACGCGAAGAACCUUACCUGCUCUUGACAUCCCGGUGACGGCAGAGUAAUGUCUGCUUUUCUUCGGAACACCGGUGACAGGUGGUGCACGGUUGUCGUCAGCUCGUGUCGUGAGAUGUUGGGUUAAGUCCCGCAACGAGCGCAACCCCUAUCUUCAGUAGCCAGCGGUAAGGCCGGGCACUCUGGAGAGACUGCCAGGGAUAACCUGGAGGAAGGUGGGGAUGACGUCAAAUCAUCAUGCCCCUUAUGAGCAGGGCUACACACGUGCUACAAUGGCGUAAACAAAGGGAAGCGAACCCGCGAGGGUGGGCAAAUCCCAAAAAUAACGUCUCAGUUCGGAUUGUAGUCUGCAACUCGACUACAUGAAGCUGGAAUCGCUAGUAAUCGCGAAUCAGAAUGUCGCGGUGAAUACGUUCCCGGGUCUUGUACACACCGCCCGUCACACCAUGGGAGUCAGUAACGCCCGAAGUCAGUGACCCAACCGUAAGGAGGGAGCUGCCGAAGGUGGGACCGAUAACUGG